RNAcentral lists this long non-coding RNA (1591 nucleotides) under Salmo salar (Atlantic salmon). RNAcentral's name for it is "lncRNA (ENSSSAG00000086887.1)". The record is from RNAcentral. Lineage: Eukaryota; Metazoa; Chordata; Actinopteri; Salmoniformes; Salmonidae.
GUUGUUCAAACCACAUUUUACUACCUCUUACCGGGUGGCGCUCUCUUUCAUGGUCCUUCGAGCCGGAUGGGAACGGCUGUCCCGGGAACAUACUGUAACCAUAGGAGCAGGCUACAGUUCACAGUACCCCCCGACCAAUCUCGAGCCAGGUGGGGGGUGCAUGCCAUGCCUUGCUCGCCAUACACACACCAGCGAGAAGAGGUCAGAGUCCAGUUCCUAUCAGGAAUCAAGGUUCCCUAUCCGAGUCCGCUGUAUGUUUCGGUUCCCUGGUCCAGGGGCCCUUACCAGUCCCUGUCCAGUGUCCAGUUCUGGGUUCCAAGCCAGCUCAUGUGGUUCCUGUCCAGAGGUGCCACGCCGCUCACUGUCCCUGGGUACUCAAUGCUGCUCCCUGGAACCAUGCUGCUUCCUGAGUUGAUGCAGCUUCCUGCCAAUGUGGCCCUCCUGGCCUCCACCAUUGGGGACUGGACUGAUCCCGUCGGGGAACCUCCCCGACCUUGCAGUGGGCUCAUCUCCUGGUUUGGACAACAGAUCUUCAGCUCAGCCCUUCCUCUGUGUGCCCACCUGCAUAUCCCCAGUUAUGCUGCUGAAGGGGCAGAGACAUGGGGCGGCAGGAAAUUCUCGACUUCGAGGUGCCUUACAAACACCGGACCCGAUGGGGCGGUGACACACAAGACAGACAGCUAAUUGCCACAGCAAGUUUUUGUUUAAUAAAAAAUGUACUCUAUACAUUUUGGGGCGGCUGUGGAAAAUCUCCCUGUGGCUCCUUCAAAACUAAGAGGUUUCUGCUGCCCGCUAUGACACCCCUCCUCAUUCCGGUGCCAAGGUGUCUGGCUGUUGAACUCCCUCACCUCCCUGACCUUGGUCAACUGAUCUCUGAUUGGUUGACAUCUGGUGAUUAUCCAAACCAAUUACCUGGUUUGGACCAAUUCAGGCUGCUCUGACCUCAGUCUCCUCCAGCUGCACAGAGAGAGCGGAUGCUCUUGUGUCUCUGUGCUGCUCCCUUUCACCUCUGGACUUCUCCAUCCAAGGACUACCACCUCUGGACACAUUUACUCUGGUCUCCUUUAGUGUGUUUGCGUCACUGCCUAAAAUACCUCACAUCACACUUCACAUCAGAUGUUAUCUUCACACAUCACUCCUCUCCUCCUGUUAUGCUGGUGUGUGUUUAGGCUGGCAAUAAACCUGUAUUCUUUACCUUUGUCUUCUACUGAUCCAUCUCCCUCUGACCGGGGACCUAGGGCAGUUUUUCCAUCCACCUUUUACUAGCAACUCUAUGGAUCCACCUCUUACCGGGUGUCGCUCUCUUUCAUGCAUUGGAAAACUGAUAGAAUGAUAACACACUGACAAUUUGAAAAGUUCUUUAUCACAGUGGUGUAGGUUUUUUGGAGCGAUGGUGGAAAACAUUAUUCACACAUCUUUGGCCUGUGAAAAAAUAAGAUUUUAAAUGGACAAUAUUGAGUACAUUCUGUAUACACGUUAUAUUCUAUUAAUAAAAUAUUUUUCAGCAGUAGAGAUUUGAAUCCCUGUGGGCCCUUGGCAAAAGUAUUGCAUUAUGUAGGGAAUAGGGUGCCAGUUGGGACGCAGCGCAGGG